This 211-nucleotide unclassified non-coding RNA is filed under the name Hevea brasiliensis (rubber tree). Lineage: Eukaryota; Viridiplantae; Streptophyta; Magnoliopsida; Malpighiales; Euphorbiaceae. The record is from RNAcentral.
GAAAUGUUAACAAGAAUGUCUUAUCUUAUGGAAACUUUGAUUUAAAACUUUCCAUAUGAAAGCCACAUUAGGAGGAAGGAACCAGAAGAGAUGAUUAUAUUCAUUUACACCAGAACUUAAAAGACAGGCAAUUGCAUUUCCAAUUUCAUGUAUUCAUCUACCAAAAUUAUUCAAAUGUUUACAUACGAAUUAGGCAUAUAAGCAGAUGUGU